Molecule: transfer-messenger RNA, 353 nt
Filed under: Kiritimatiellia
Lineage: Bacteria; Pseudomonadati; Kiritimatiellota
Also listed under: 1 other name
Description: UBA1067 sp024694365 Standard tmRNA
Rfam family: transfer-messenger RNA
About the family: Bacterial tmRNA, also known as 10Sa RNA or SsrA, is named for its dual tRNA and mRNA-like properties. Its role is to liberate the mRNA from a stalled ribosome.
Source: RNAcentral
GGGGGUGAUCCGGUUUCGACGGGAUAUGCCGAGGUCAGAUCGCGCGUCGUGGAUCCUCGUUGGCCACGUAAAAAACGAGGGAAAAAAGUAAUUGCGAACAACGAUUACGCUCUCGCCGCCUAAAUAACGGCCGCGAAGUCGAAGCGCCGAUGUCUGCUGAGCGCCUAGGCUUAAUUUAGCAGGCCACGCUGCAGGGCUCUCCGCUCGGGUGCUGCAGGGUGCCGAACCGAACGGAUGGAUGAGGAUAAGCCCGCCUGCCGGCGUACUCCAUCCGAGAUCAAGGGCCGGAUACACGCGUAGAAGUUUGCCCGGAGCUGUUUCGGACAGGGGUUCGACUCCCCUCACCUCCAAAA